UCCGUAGGCGGUCUUAUAAGUCAGUGGUGAAAGCCCAUCGCUCAACGAUGGAACUGCCAUUGAUACUGUAAGACUUGAAUUUUUGUGAAGUAACUAGAAUAUGUAGUGUAGCGGUGAAAUGCUUAGAGAUUACAUGGAAUACCAAUUGCGAAGGCAGGUUACUACUAAUGGAUUGACGCUGAUGGACGAAAGCGUGGGUAGCGAACAGGAUUAGAUACCCUUGUA
This 225-nucleotide ribosomal RNA is filed under the name uncultured Flavobacterium sp. RNAcentral describes it as "partial 16S ribosomal RNA". It matches the Rfam family "Bacterial small subunit ribosomal RNA", at positions 568 to 792 of the family's 1533-position model. The record is from RNAcentral. Lineage: Bacteria; Pseudomonadati; Bacteroidota; Flavobacteriia; Flavobacteriales; Flavobacteriaceae.